AAAACCCAACUACACCCUUAAUUUUUAUAUCCUAACAACCACUAAGGCCCUGUAUAAUUGGUUUUAGGUUGGGGCGACCACGGAGUACAACAAAACCUCCACAAUGAAUGGGACCACGGCCUUAUCUAAGAGUUACCAGUCCAAGAAUUAAAAUAUUAAGAUAAAAUGAUCCAUUUUUUGAUCAAUGAACCAAGUUACCCUGGGGAUAAGAGCGCAAUAGAUUUCAAGAGUACCUAUCGACAAGUGGGUUU
RNAcentral lists this ribosomal RNA (251 nucleotides) under Mantidactylus ambohimitombi miloko. RNAcentral's name for it is "partial large subunit ribosomal RNA". The record is from RNAcentral. Lineage: Eukaryota; Metazoa; Chordata; Amphibia; Anura; Mantellidae.